GUGUUAUAUGAAAGGAGAGAAGGUUAGCGCUCCCCUUGACAACGAUGGAAUCGGCCCUCAUGGCCUUCAACACAUGUACGGUUAAGGCAUCGCCCCCUGCUUUGUGAAAUCUCUAAGCAUGAUUUUAA
Notolabrus celidotus (New Zealand spotty) is the source of this 128-nucleotide small nuclear RNA. Lineage: Eukaryota; Metazoa; Chordata; Actinopteri; Labriformes; Labridae. The record is from RefSeq and is a predicted model, not a curated record.